UGGGGAAUAUUGCACAAUGGAGGGAACUCUGCUGCAGCGACGCCGCGUGAGUGAUGAAGGAAUUCGUUUCGUAAAACUCUGUUCUAUGGGAAGAAAAGGACUGUACCAUAGGAGAAAGCUCCGGCUAAAUACGUGCCAGCAGCCGCGGUAAUACGUAUGGAGCGAGCGUUGUCCGGAAUCACUGGGCGUAAAGGGUUCGCAGGCGGAAAUGCAAGUCAGGUGUAAAAGGCAGUAGCUUAACUACUGUAAGCAUUUGAAACUGCAUAUCUUGAGAAGAGUAGAGGUAAGUGGAAUUUUUAGUGUAGCGGUGAAAUGCGUAGAUAUUAAAAAGAAUACCGGUGGCGAAGGCGACUUACUGGGCUCAUUCUGACGCUGAGGAACGAAAGCGUGGGUAGCAAACAGG
RNAcentral lists this ribosomal RNA (403 nucleotides) under Fusobacteriota bacterium. RNAcentral describes it as "Fusobacteria bacterium partial 16S ribosomal RNA". It matches the Rfam family "Bacterial small subunit ribosomal RNA", at positions 355 to 776 of the family's 1533-position model. Lineage: Bacteria; Fusobacteriati; Fusobacteriota. The record is from RNAcentral.